RNAcentral lists this transfer RNA (76 nucleotides) under Hyphomicrobiaceae bacterium TMED74. RNAcentral's name for it is "tRNA-Thr". It matches the Rfam family "tRNA". From Rfam's summary of the family: Transfer RNA (tRNA) molecules are approximately 80 nucleotides in length. Their secondary structure includes four short double-helical elements and three loops (D, anti-codon, and T loops). Further hydrogen bonds mediate the characteristic L-shaped molecular structure. tRNAs have two regions of fundamental functional importance: the anti-codon, which is responsible for specific mRNA codon recognition, and the 3' end, to which the tRNAs corresponding amino acid is attached (by aminoacyl-tRNA synthetases). tRNAs cope with the degeneracy of the genetic code in two manners: having more than one tRNA (with a specific anti-codon) for a particular amino acid; and 'wobble' base-pairing, i.e. permitting non-standard base-pairing at the 3rd anti-codon position. Lineage: Bacteria; Pseudomonadati; Pseudomonadota; Alphaproteobacteria; Hyphomicrobiales; Hyphomicrobiaceae. RNAcentral also lists the same sequence under 1 other name. The record is from RNAcentral.
GCCGCAGUAGCUCAGUUGGUAGAGCAACGCAUUCGUAAUGCGUAGGUCGCCGGUUCGAGUCCGGCCUGCGGCACCA